AAGGAUAGGUCUAUCCUAAGCAUCUUUAGUCUUUCUUGUGCAAUAAUUUUAGAGGCUUGUUGCAUCAAUAAAGAUUGUAAAUAAAUGGAGCAACUUUGUAUGCAUAUUUUGAAGGUGUACAAAUUGUCAAACAGCAAGGAAAUGAAUCAGACCCAAAACUCAGUGUUGCACUUACAAAAUUCAAAUAAUAUGAAUAUAUAGAAACUGUUUUUGAAGGUUUGGUGUAUAUUUGACCAAAUGAACAACAAGUACCAGUUUCAAUUGAUGAAAUGCACUUUUGGAACCAUGGAAAAUGUAUAGGAGAGCACGGAAUCUGAAAAUCAGUGUAUGAGUUGCCAGUUAUGCAGAAAAAAAGUGGUGAAAACUGCACUAUAAUGAAAAAAAUGGCAACUAAAAUGGAAACUGCAGUGGUGACAAUAAAUGGCAGGUGUUCAAAUGUACAUAUGACUCUUCAAGCAAGUUUUAAUCAUCAAAUGGGAGGUGUUCCAGCGUUCACACAGUCAAGAAGCAUGCAGCAGCAGAAAUAAGCCUUUGAAGAAAACAAAAACAGUUUCAAGAAAACCAAUUUUUAACAACUCAACCACUCUUUUUGGAAUUCAGUGUGUAACACAGAUUGCUAAGUCUUGAAACGUGUAUAAAAUCAUCACACAAACUUGUCUNAAGCUUUAGAACUAAUAAAGAUUUCAUUGUUGGAGGCCAAAAGGGUUGGAGUGUGCCAAGUGACCCCAAUUCUAACCCUUAUAGUCAAUGGGCACAAAANAGCAGAUUUCAAAUAGGAGACUCUUUAGGUAAGUUUCUAUUCAAACUUAAGUCACCAAUCUUACCUAAAAAUUUCAGGAGCUGGUUAGUGGUUACCUCUUACNACUUAUUAACUAGGCCCCAUUUUUAUCGUAUANANCANAGUGUAAAAUUCAUCUUUAAAAGGCAGAGUCAGAAGGGUGGCUUUCAAUGUCGGUUGAGUGGUCGAUCUUGGGCUAGUUAGGGCCUAUUUAGUUGUUAUCUAUUCCUCUUUCUAUCUAUCUCAUAUUCAUAUUCAUAUCAUAUCACUCCCAGGCCCUUACUAUUUCUCAUUCCAUUUUCCCUUUGGUUUUGGAAGUCAUCUUCUCUUGCUGUUCCUGAACGGGGCUCACUUUGCCAUGUGGCCCAUCCUGUCUUCCAUCCUUUUUCUGAACUGCCUAUUCUUUCCUUUUCUUUUUAUUUUUUCCUCUCCUCUCCAUAUGCNCCUGUUCUCUGUCUCCUAGUUUUCUUCACUAUCAUGCAUUUUCAUCUCCAUUAAAUACUAUCCCCAUCACAUAUAUCCUUACAGCUAGCCACCUUACACAGUCUAAUCCUCAAAUCAUCAAUCAGGAUAUGGAUCUCUUCAAAUCAAUUAAUGUAAGAUGCACGCCNCCUCAUGUAUGUCUACCCUUUUUAUAAUACCAUGCAUGCAUGUAUUCCACUAUAUAUAUUAACAUUCAACGUAUCUAUCUAAUAUAAUGAGAUCUAAAUUAGUCCAUACACUCCGAACUAAAACACUAGUAAGCGAGGAUG
This 1530-nucleotide long non-coding RNA is filed under the name Vigna radiata. RNAcentral describes it as "long non-coding RNA (VRAD_LNC014585)". Lineage: Eukaryota; Viridiplantae; Streptophyta; Magnoliopsida; Fabales; Fabaceae. The record is from RNAcentral.